UCUGAUGAAAAGAGAUUGUUUUUCGAAAAACUUACGUUGAAUGACGAUGCAGGGACCGGUGUUCCGCAAGAUACCGAUAAUUCCCAGCAAGGACGAGCUCCUCAGCGUCAUCCCAACCGCAGUUCCGGUCAAUAAAGUUGGGCUUCGUUACACCUCAGUUCUGGAGUACUUAGAGACGCACUUCCGGCUGCUGCGAGAGGACUUCAUCAAUCCACUCAGGCAAGGGAUAAAGCAGUACAUAAACAGGCAGGGAGGAUACUUUGCGGAGGUGAGGAUAUAUAGCAAUGUGGAGCUGAAAGGAGUACGUUUCACACUAAACGGGAUAGAAAACAAGGUGUCGUUCGUUGCAGAGAAAGUCAGGAACAAAACGAGGGAGAUAAACUGGGAGCAGAGCAAACGGUUGAUGUUUGGCUCCUUGCUGUGCAUGUCAAGGGAUAACUUUCAGACCAUUACCUGGGCAACGGUGGCAGGAAGGAAAGAGUUGGCUCAGAAUAUGGUGGACCUUCGUCUUUUAGAUGGAAGUGAUCUCGACGCAUCAUUCAAAUACGUCAUGGUCGAGUCUGCAGCAGCAUACUUCGAAGCUUAUUCUCACGUUUUGAAAAGCUUGCAACGAGAGGACAUGGAAAACAUACCUUUCAAGUCGCAUUUGAUAUCGUUAGUGAAGCAUGUGAAGGAGCCAGCGUACUUGCCACAGAGAGCAGAGGGCGAUAGAUACGACUUC
Molecule: long non-coding RNA, 721 nt
Filed under: Selaginella moellendorffii
Lineage: Eukaryota; Viridiplantae; Streptophyta; Lycopodiopsida; Selaginellales; Selaginellaceae
Description: long non-coding RNA (SMOE_LNC000494)
Source: RNAcentral